UACGAAGGGUGCUAGCGUUGUUCGGAAUCACUGGGCGUAAAGCGCGCGUAGGCGGCGAUGCAAGUCAGAGGUGAAAUCCCCAAGCUUAACUUGGGAACUGCCUUUGAAACUGCAUUGCUAGAGUACUGGAGGGGAGUGGGGAAUUCCUAAUGUAGAGGUGAAAUUCGUAGAUAUUAGGAGGAACACCGGUGGCGAAGGCGCCACUCUGGACAGUCACUGACGCUGAGGCGCGAAAGCGUGGGGAUCAAACAGG
This 253-nucleotide ribosomal RNA is filed under the name uncultured bacterium. Its description in RNAcentral is "partial 16S ribosomal RNA". It matches the Rfam family "Bacterial small subunit ribosomal RNA", at positions 524 to 776 of the family's 1533-position model. The record is from RNAcentral.